CUUAAUUUUAAGAUGGCAGAUCAAGAGUCUUGCUUGUUCCCUGAUCUUUCGUCCCUUUCUCCCAAUUUUACCCUCAAUUCAUUGUCAGUCGCCCACAAUUUCUUCACUUAUUCAAUACAAUUUCAUUUCAUGAUUAAAACCUUUCAACUUUCUUCAAUCGAAAUAACCCCCAAUCAAUUCUGAACACUAAAAUUAAUUGAAACCCUUUCAACUUUCUUCAAUUAAAACUUUCGUGAAAUGUUACCAUGGCGAUUAAAGGAGUAUUUCAAGGGGCAAUACCCUAUUGAAGAUGCUAAACCCACACUCUCUCACCACCACUGGUUCCAGAAUUGCCUCAUACCGUCUUCAUUCACGUAUCAAACUCAGGUUCUCAUCUACUUUCUUCAAUUUCAACUUCUUGAUGUUUAAUCCUUAUUUGUUUGUUUAUGCAGGGUGUUGGUUGAAAGAUAGUUAUCAUGAUUUGUUUGUACCAGAAGAGUGUGGAAACAUAUGGUAGAUGAGUGGGUCAAUGCUACUACAAAGAUAACCGGUUUCUGAAAAUACCCCCGAGUCAAUGAAUCCGUCUGUUGUUGAUGAAGAAGAAGGUUUACCUUCACCUCCUUUAGACGAUUUAGCGUUUUUGAACCCUCAUUCAAUGUCAUUGGAAUUAUCCGAGAAGUUCUUCGAUGGCGGGAUGAUUAUGGAAAUGCUCAAAAGAAUGAGAACCAUAAUAACAGAAAGCCGCCAGUUGAGAAGCAAAACGUAACCAAGUGGAAACCACACAAACCGUUAAACAGGGAAACCAUGGUUCCAAAUCGAACCGUGGUCAAACCAGUAAACAACCAAUUGAUAUUUGCAGGUAAUAUUCACGGUUGAUAUUCGUGUCGUAGAUGACAUGGGUGAGCAAAUUCCAGGAACUGACCCGAACCGAAGAUUACCCGACCCGACUCGAGAAUCCCAUAUAUCCAAACAUGAAUUGCGACCCUAAAUAAAAACUUGGGUUCGUUUUUUUUUUCAUAAUCGGGUAUCUCAGCCGAAGCUCCAAGACCGAACCUGGAUGUUUACCCCUUGUUUCCCACUGUACGAUCAUCUCUCAUCGCACUUCACACACAUCGACAUGUUUCCAAGUGCGUUUAAUUGUAUAACCCAUAACAGAUCUAUCAAAGAAUGAUCAUAACAUGUCAUAAAAUACAUCGGUACGAAUAUUCGACUUCGUGAACUGUUCUAAUUAUGCUGAAUCAUUAUGUCGUGAACAGGUCAUGGGCACCACCAUUUAAAUCAAGGGACACCAUAUCAACAUGGAGCAACAAGGGUGCCACCAGGAAAGCAAAGAGUGGCCGACAUGGUUCAACUUCCUGGAUCAAGGCUACCAGACUGUACUCACACUUGCGGCUCAUGUUCUCGACGUGAAAACCAUGUUUUGUUUAACUUUACAAUGCAUUGAAGGAUUCAGUUUUAGAAGAAGUAUUUAAUUGCCAAAAGGACAGUUCAUGCUGUGCUCUUAUUGUAUUAGAAGGCAAAGAUGCUGGAUACAAAUUGUUGGAAAUUAUUAAGCAAAAACCAACCAUAUGUAUAAAGUAUAUACCUAUGUUAGAUGAGGAAAAGUGUAAUAAUUGUGUGUUCAUUUGCAGGUGGGUGGGAGAUGUUUUUCAUAUCAACGUGUAUACUAUUUUUUUUGUAAUUGGAAUUACUUAUAUAGAUAAAUAUAGAUAAAGAAUCAAACUUGAUAUACAAAGUCAACUCUUGUCACAUUACAUGCUGGUUCAGACAACAUCUAUCUGGUGAUGUGUUUUUAGUUUGUUGUAUAGUAUUUUUCCUUUUCAAUAGGAUUUCUUUUUUUAUCGUCAACGAACCUUCGUGGUUAAAUGGUCGAAACAUCCGACACACUAGACCCGCACCUAACACCUAACGGGUGAUCAAUGAA
Long non-coding RNA from Helianthus annuus (common sunflower), 1903 nucleotides. RefSeq lists it as uncharacterized. The transcript is spliced from 7 exons. NCBI's taxonomy places the organism in Eukaryota, Viridiplantae, Streptophyta, Magnoliopsida, Asterales, Asteraceae. The record is from RefSeq and is a predicted model, not a curated record.